RNAcentral lists this small RNA (443 nucleotides) under Arabidopsis thaliana (thale cress). Its description in RNAcentral is "putative long intergenic non-coding RNA". The record is from RNAcentral. Lineage: Eukaryota; Viridiplantae; Streptophyta; Magnoliopsida; Brassicales; Brassicaceae.
GUUCUUCUUGGGGUUGUUAGGAUUUUUCGGAAUCUUCUUUUUGUAGGAUUUUUGCAUGGGUCUUGUUUGAGUGAAGUUUCUGUUUUGGCCAUUUAAUUGCUUAUCGUGGUGUUGUGUUUGUCAUUUAAUAUCCUGGAAAAUCUCUCCUUUAUGAUGAGACGGACUCGAUUCUUUUUGCCCUUAGCUUUGGGCUCAUGUUCUAUGUUUGAGGUUAUCGACUUCUCGGGUUGGUUUGACAUGUUUAAUACUAUCGACUACAAAAAGAUAGGCUAUUUCCAAUGGACGAAAUCGUCGGAAUAACGAUGGAAACAGCCGUAUUCGACGAAUUUUCGACGACAUAGAUUGGUCGAUUCUAUCUCGUCGGAAAUCUGAAUGUCGUCGCAAACGUGUUACAAAUUACCGACGGGUUUCCGACGAGGUAUUUUCCGACAAUUUCUAUACGC